ACCUACGGGGGGCAGCAAUUAGGAAUCUUGCGCAAUGGGCGAAAGCCUGACGCAGCGACGCCGCGUGACUGAUGAAGUCUUUCGGGAUGUAAAGGUCUUUUCUGAAGGAAGAACACAAUGACGGUACUUCAGGAAUAAGCCCCGGCUAACUACGUGCCAGCAGCCGCGGUAAUACGUAGGGGGCGAGCGUUGUCCGAAUUCACUGGGCGUAAAGCGCGCGUAGGCGGGUUAUUAAGUUGAUGGUGAAAUCCCGGGGCUCAACCUCGGAACUGCCUUCAAAACUGGUAGCCUUGAGGUUUGGAGAGGGAACUGGAAUUCCUGGUGUAGCGGUGAAAUGCGUAGAUAUCAGGAGGAACACCCAUGGCGAAGGCAGGUUCCUGGCCAUAUCCUGACGCUGAGGUGCGAAAGCUAGGGUAGCGAACGGGAUUAGAUACCCCCGUAGUCCA
RNAcentral lists this ribosomal RNA (446 nucleotides) under uncultured bacterium. RNAcentral describes it as "bacterial SSU rRNA". It matches the Rfam family "Bacterial small subunit ribosomal RNA", at positions 337 to 797 of the family's 1533-position model. The record is from RNAcentral.